GUGGAGUUGCGGGAGUCUGGCUCUCGUAGGUGAAGUCGGGGCGAAGUCCGGCUCCCGUGGGAGUCCGGAUGGAGUCUACCUGCAAUUGAAGUUAGAGGCAAAAUUUGGCUCCCGUAGGAGUCCGGACGGAGCUUACCAGCGGUUGAAGUUGGGGACGAAGUCCGGCUCCCGUAGGAGUCCAGACGGAGUCUUCCUUCGAUCAAAGUCGAGGGCGAAGUCCGGCUC
Molecule: long non-coding RNA, 225 nt
Filed under: Elaeis guineensis (African oil palm)
Lineage: Eukaryota; Viridiplantae; Streptophyta; Magnoliopsida; Arecales; Arecaceae
Description: long non-coding RNA (EGUI_LNC009918)
Source: RNAcentral